Long non-coding RNA from Cucurbita pepo subsp. pepo (vegetable marrow), 798 nucleotides. RefSeq lists it as uncharacterized. NCBI's taxonomy places the organism in Eukaryota, Viridiplantae, Streptophyta, Magnoliopsida, Cucurbitales, Cucurbitaceae. The record is from RefSeq and is a predicted model, not a curated record.
AGGUUCGGAAAUAUAACCUCCAACGUUCAUAUCGUCGACGGUUUUCCAGGGUCAAAGUCAUAACGGUGUUCAUAGCCGUUGCCCGCCAUUCUCGGAUGCCAGCUGUCUUGGCUUCCGCGUGUUUCACUCGGACUUAUAUAUAUCUCCCGCACUCAACUCACACUCACACUCACACUCUCUUCUUCAGCACAUUCUCACAUUAGAACCAGAGCGCUCCAUCAACGCCCUCUUCCCUUCCCUUUCCAGUCUUCGUUGCCCAAACCGAAGGCUACAUAGUUACAAUGCUCCAUCAACGGCCUCUUCCCUUUCAGUCUUCGUUGCUCAAACCAAACGCUACAUUGUUACCAGGCAAUCGGAGGAUGAGAGAGCAGAUUCGAAAGGAGUUUCUCGCCUCGUCUCGGUGACGAAAAAUAGUGGUAGAAGAAAGAGUUUGGUCAGCUGAAGAGGAAAAGGCAGAGUCUAAGAAAGAAUUUGGUGCAGAGUCUAAAGAUAUGAACAAUGGUGGACAUAGAUGGAGAUAACAAAGUUGAGGUCAUUCUACAAAGAAUCCAACUAGAGUUGCUACUUUAAACACUCCACGUAAGAAAUUUUCUAUUUGACAUCAUGAACUACCAUAUGUCCGGUCUGGUUCUCGCAGGAAUUACAUUUUUGACAAUGUUGUGGUCCUAACAAGGUUAGAUUCCUGUGUUUAACUUUUAUUAUGGGUUUGUUUUUCUUUUUUUGAUGUUCUUUGUGGUUCGGAUAUCAUGUUUUUAUUGUUUUAAACUACAAUGAAGGAUUAUAAUGAAUGUUAAUGUU